UGGGGAAUAUUGCACAAUGGGGGAAACCCUGAUGCAGCCAUGCCGCGUGUGUGAAGAAGGCCUUCGGGUUGUAAAGCACUUUCAGUGGUGAGGAAAGGAGGUUGGCUAAUACCCGGCCUCUGUGACGUUAACCACAGAAGAAGCACCGGCUAACUCCGUGCCAGCAGCCGCGGUAAUACGGAGGGUGCAAGCGUUAAUCGGAAUAACUGGGCGUAAAGCGCACGCAGGCGGUUUGUUAAGCCAGAUGUGAAAGCCCCGGGCUCAACCCGGGAACUGCAUUUGGAACUGGCAGACUAGAGUCUUGGAGAGGGGGGUAGAAUUUCCGGUGUAGCGGUGAAAUGCGUAGAGAUCGGAAGGAAUACCAGUGGCGAAGGCGGCCCCCUGGCCAAAGACUGACGCUCAGGUGCGAAAGCGUGGGGAGCAAACAGGAUUAGAUACCCCAGUAGUC
RNAcentral lists this ribosomal RNA (448 nucleotides) under uncultured bacterium. RNAcentral's name for it is "bacterial SSU rRNA". It matches the Rfam family "Bacterial small subunit ribosomal RNA", at positions 355 to 795 of the family's 1533-position model. The record is from RNAcentral.